RNAcentral lists this ribosomal RNA (301 nucleotides) under uncultured bacterium. RNAcentral describes it as "partial 16S ribosomal RNA". It matches the Rfam family "Bacterial small subunit ribosomal RNA", at positions 509 to 809 of the family's 1533-position model. The record is from RNAcentral.
CAGUCGCCGCGGGAAUACAGAGGGUGCGAGCGUUAAUCGGAUUUACUGGGCGUAAAGCGUGCGUAGGCGGCUUCUUAAGUCGGAUGUGAAAUCCCUGAGCUUAACUUAGGAAUUGCAUUCGAUACUGGGAAGCUAGAGUAUGGGAGAGGAUGGUAGAAUUCCAGGUGUAGCGGUGAAAUGCGUAGGGAUCUGGAGGAAUACCGAUGGCGAAGGCAGCCAUCUGGCCUAAUACUGACGCUGAGGUACGAAAGCAUGGGGAGCAAACAGGAUUAGAUACCCGUGUAGUCCCUGUCUCUUAUAU